UAAUAAUAAUUUAAGUUUGACAAUUUUAAUCAAGCAUAAUAACGUUUUACAUACAUGAAUAUAGAAUUAAAGAAAAUGAAAAACGAGAUAAGGAAUAGAGAUUAAGGAACUCAGAGGUAUUUUUGGUGAAAUUUCAAAGUAGGGAAAACUAAAAUAGAAUUGACACGUGGCAUUUUCUGAUUGGUUGGAACACAUCACACGACCACGUGUCAUUGUGUGAUUGGUUGGCAAAUAUCAAAUCAUUGAUUAAGUCUUUGACUAGGUUCUAUAGUACUAUUUCGUGAACUCACUUCAUCUCAACUAUUGAUCUUAUUAUAGAUAAGAUUUGGACCAUUGAUCAAAUCAAAGAAUUUUGACUUGAUCUGGCCUUUGGAUUGGUAGUUGGGAAUGUAUCUUGGUCGUCCAUCUUAAAGCUACAAUGGACCUCCCCACAUUUUGUUGAAAACUCAUCUUUUGAUCUGAGGCUUUGAAUUAAAUAUUCAAAUCGAUCCAAGCCGUUAGGGAAUUCAAUAAAGACCUCCAUUUUCCUCUAUUUUUCUUCACACCAAAACUUUCAAACCAUUACUCCUACUCCACCAAAAUCAAUAUUACGACAUUCUUGGGGUCGCUGUUCAUCUAAGUUAUUAUUCACAGACACUACUCAUCCGAUUUCACUAUUCACUUCCCUAAACUUGUAGCAAUCGUUCCGUAUUCAUUAUGGAAAAUUACUAUUCACAUGCACUUUUCACAUCGGGUUUCAUUAUUCAUCACUCCUCCAACUAAGGUAAUCUCUAUUCCUUAUCUCGUUUUUUGUUUACUUUAAUUAUGUAUUCCUAUUUCUAAAGUGUUAUUCUGCCCAAUUUAAAUUGUCACACUUAAAUUAAUUUUAUUUUCUGAAUGGUUAAUUUUCUCAGAUAUUUCUAAAAAUUGGAUCCCUAUGCCAUUACACUGCCAGUUUGAAUUCUAGUCAAACUUAAGAAUCUUAGGGCAUGUUUGGUAUGGCUCACUAAAUGGGACUGUGCUAUAUUGGACCUGAAGCCCAUGUUUGGUUAGCAAGAGGACUAACUUAAAUGGGACAGUAGAGCCCAACAGUAAAAAAAAUGCCUCACUCGUUCUCCUUAUACAAAGAAGCUCAAAAUGGGUUCGCAAAAUAAGCCUUCGCUAUAUUGAACACGCCUCUCUCCAGUUCGCGACUCCUUCUCUGCGACUCCGUCUUUGCGACUCUACCUCUCUUUCGUUCAACAUCGACUCAUCUUCUUCGAAUCUUGACACAGGUGGCGGACAAUUUCUAUAGACCCAAUUUGAAGAAAGCAGCUCUUGCCAGGGUAAGUGUUGGUCACAGGAGUCUCAAGGUCUCCGAGUCUGGUGUCAAGAAGAGGAAUAGGCAGGUUGUCAAGACCCCUGGUAGGAACAAGUUUUUUUUUCUUCUUCCAAUGUAUUAAUUUUUGAGAACCGAUGAUUGCUUUUGUACUUAACAUAGCUCUAACUGCAAACUGGAUUUCCAUCGCAAUUGUCCAGUGUUAUAUGUAAGUAUACUUGUAGGCAAAGGUGAAAUUUGGAAAACGUGAUUAUGCUACCUAUACCCAGCAAUGAACCAAUGACAAAAUUUGCUUGAAAUCGUGGUACUAAUUUAGUUGUGAGAUUGCUUGUAUGAGAAAAAUUCAAUUGUUGAUCAUUA
Molecule: long non-coding RNA, 1657 nt
Organism: Prunus persica (peach)
Lineage: Eukaryota; Viridiplantae; Streptophyta; Magnoliopsida; Rosales; Rosaceae
Exons: 2
Source: RefSeq, a predicted model, not a curated record